UUCAGCAGCUCUCAAUAAGCUCCUCCCACAUGUUCACUGGUAGUGAAGCUCCGCCCACUGCAACGCAUCAUCAGUGAAGCUCCUCCCACAUGUUCACUGUUAGUGAAGCUCCGCCCACUGCAAC
Molecule: long non-coding RNA, 124 nt
Organism: Sinocyclocheilus rhinocerous
Lineage: Eukaryota; Metazoa; Chordata; Actinopteri; Cypriniformes; Cyprinidae
Exons: 3
Source: RefSeq, a predicted model, not a curated record